GGGGGAUCAGUGGCGAACGGGUGAGUAACACGUGAGUAACCUGCCCUUCACUCUGGGAUAAGCCUUGGAAACGGGGUCUAAUACCGGAUACGAGACGCACGGGCAUCUGUAGCGUCUGGAAAGAUUUAUCGGUGAAGGAUGGACUCGCGGCCUAUCAGCUUGUUGGUGGGGUAAUGGCCUACCAAGGCGACGACGGGUAGCCGGCCUGAGAGGGCGACCGGCCACACUGGGACUGAGACACGGCCCAGACUCCUACGGGAGGCAGCAGUGGGGAAUAUUGCACAAUGGGCGCAAGCCUGAUGCAGCGACGCCGCGUGCGGGAUGACGGCCUUCGGGUUGUAAACCGCUUUCAGCAGGGAAGAAGCGAGAGUGACGGUACCUGCAGAAGAAGCGCCGGCUAACUACGUGCCAGCAGCCGCGGUAAUACGUAGGGCGCAAGCGUUGUCCGGAAUUAUUGGGCGUAAAGAGCUCGUAGGCGGUUUGUCGCGUCUGCUGUGAAAACCUCAGGCUCAACCUGGGGCUUGCAGUGGGUACGGGCAGACUAGAGUGCGGUAGGGGUGACUGGAAUUCCUGGUGUAGCGGUGGAAUGCGCAGAUAUCAGGAGGAACACCGAUGGCGAAGGCAGGUCACUGGGCCGCAACUGACGCUGAGGAGCGAAAGCAUGGGGAGCGAACAGGAUUAGAUACCCUGGUAGUCCAUGCCGUAAACGUUGGGCACUAGGUGUGGGGUCCAUUCCACGGAUUCCGUGCCGCAGCAAACGCAUUAAGUGCCCCGCCUGGGGAGUACGGCCGCAAGGCUAAAACUCAAAGAAAUUGACGGGGGCCCGCACAAGCGGCGGAGCAUGCGGAUUAAUUCGAUGCAACGCGAAGAACCUUACCAAGGCUUGACAUACACCGGAAACGUGCAGAGAUGUGCGCCCCGCAAGGCCGGUGUACAGGUGGUGCAUGGUUGUCGUCAGCUCGUGUCGUGAGAUGUUGGGGUUAAGUCCCGCAACGAGCGCAACCCUCGUCCCAUGUUGCCACCGGGGUUAUUGCCGGGGACUCAUGGGAGACUGCCGGGGUCAACUCGGAGGAAGGUGGGGAUGACGUCAAAUCAUCAUGCCCCUUAUGUCUUGGGCUUCACGCAUGCUACAAUGGCCGGUACAAAGGGCUGCGAUACCGCGAGGUGGAGCGAAUCCCAAAAAGCCGGUCUCAGUUCGGAUUGGGGUCUGCAACUCGACCCCAUGAAGUCGGAGUCGCUAGUAAUCGCAGAUCAGCAACGCUGCGGUGAAUACGUUCCCGGGCCUUGUACACACCGCCCGUCAAGUCAUGAAAGUCGGUAACAC
Molecule: ribosomal RNA, 1324 nt
Filed under: Cellulomonas sp. HD19AZ1
Lineage: Bacteria; Bacillati; Actinomycetota; Actinomycetes; Micrococcales; Cellulomonadaceae
Description: bacterial SSU rRNA
Rfam family: Bacterial small subunit ribosomal RNA
Source: RNAcentral